AGAGUUUGAUCAUGGCUCAGAUUGAACGCUGGCGGCAGGCCUAACACAUGCAAGUCGAGCGGUAGCACAGAGAGCUUGCUCUCGGGUGACGAGCGGCGGACGGGUGAGUAAUGUCUGGGAAACUGCCUGAUGGAGGGGGAUAACUACUGGAAACGGUAGCUAAUACCGCAUAAUGUCGCAAGACCAAAGUGGGGGACCUUCGGGCCUCAUGCCAUCAGAUGUGCCCAGAUGGGAUUAGCUAGUAGGUGGGGUAACGGCUCACCUAGGCGACGAUCCCUAGCUGGUCUGAGAGGAUGACCAGCCACACUGGAACUGAGACACGGUCCAGACUCCUACGGGAGGCAGCAGUGGGGAAUAUUGCACAAUGGGCGCAAGCCUGAUGCAGCCAUGCCGCGUGUGUGAAGAAGGCCUUCGGGUUGUAAAGCACUUUCAGCGGGGAGGAAGGCGUUAAGGUUAAUAACCUUGGCGAUUGACGUUACCCGCAGAAGAAGCACCGGCUAACUCCGUGCCAGCAGCCGCGGUAAUACGGAGGGUGCAAGCGUUAAUCGGAAUUACUGGGCGUAAAGCGCACGCAGGCGGUCUGUCAAGUCGGAUGUGAAAUCCCCGGGCUCAACCUGGGAACUGCAUUCGAAACUGGCAGGCUAGAGUCUUGUAGAGGGGGGUAGAAUUCCAGGUGUAGCGGUGAAAUGCGUAGAGAUCUGGAGGAAUACCGGUGGCGAAGGCGGCCCCCUGGACAAAGACUGACGCUCAGGUGCGAAAGCGUGGGGAGCAAACAGGAUUAGAUACCCUGGUAGUCCACGCCGUAAACGAUGUCGAUUUGGAGGUUGUGCCCUUGAGGCGUGGCUUCCGGAGCUAACGCGUUAAAUCGACCGCCUGGGGAGUACGGCCGCAAGGUUAAAACUCAAAUGAAUUGACGGGGGCCCGCACAAGCGGUGGAGCAUGUGGUUUAAUUCGAUGCAACGCGAAGAACCUUACCUGGUCUUGACAUCCACAGAACUUUCCAGAGAUGGAUUGGUGCCUUCGGGAACUGUGAGACAGGUGCUGCAUGGCUGUCGUCAGCUCGUGUUGUGAAAUGUUGGGUUAAGUCCCGCAACGAGCGCAACCCUUAUCCUUUGUUGCCAGCGGUCCGGCCGGGAACUCAAAGGAGACUGCCAGUGAUAAACUGGAGGAAGGUGGGGAUGACGUCAAGUCAUCAUGGCCCUUACGACCAGGGCUACACACG
This 1222-nucleotide ribosomal RNA is filed under the name Klebsiella pneumoniae. RNAcentral describes it as "bacterial SSU rRNA". It matches the Rfam family "Bacterial small subunit ribosomal RNA", at positions 8 to 1222 of the family's 1533-position model. The record is from RNAcentral. Lineage: Bacteria; Pseudomonadati; Pseudomonadota; Gammaproteobacteria; Enterobacterales; Enterobacteriaceae.